RNAcentral lists this ribosomal RNA (550 nucleotides) under uncultured bacterium. Its description in RNAcentral is "partial 16S ribosomal RNA". It matches the Rfam family "Bacterial small subunit ribosomal RNA", at positions 355 to 896 of the family's 1533-position model. The record is from RNAcentral.
UAGGGAAUCUUCGGCAAUGGGGGCAACCCUGACCGAGCAACGCCGCGUGAGUGAAGAAGGUUUUCGGAUCGUAAAGCUCUGUUGUAAGAGAAGAACGGGUGUGANAGUGNANNGUUCACACUAUGACGGUNACUUACCAAAAAGGGACGGCUAACUACNUGCCACCACCCGCGGUAAUACNUAGGUCCCGAGCGUUAUCCGGAUUUAUUGGGCGUAAAGCGAGCGCAAGCGGUUANAUAANUCNGANNUUAANGGCUGUGGCUUANCCNUANNANNCUUUGGAAACUGUUUAACUUGAGUGCNGAANGGGANAGUGGAAUUCCAUGUGUAGCGGUGAAAUGCGUAGAUAUAUGGAGGAACACCGGUGGCGAAAGCGGCUCUCUGGUCUGUAACUGACGCUGAGGCUCGAAAGCGUGGGGAGCAAACAGGAUUAGAUACCCUGGUAGUCCACGCCGUAAACGAUGANUGCUAGGUGUUGGGUCCUUUCCGGGACUCANUGCCGCANCUAACGCAUUAANCACUCCGCCUGGGGAGUACGACCGCAAGGUUG